RNAcentral lists this ribosomal RNA (289 nucleotides) under uncultured bacterium. RNAcentral's name for it is "partial 16S ribosomal RNA". It matches the Rfam family "Bacterial small subunit ribosomal RNA", at positions 773 to 1060 of the family's 1533-position model. The record is from RNAcentral.
GUGGAUUAGAUACCCUGGUAGUCUACGCCGUAAACGAUGGAUGCUAGCUGUGGGGGGUAUCGACCCCUUCCGUAGCGAAGCUAACGCGUUAAGCAUCCCACCUGUGUAGUACGAUCGCAAGAUUAAAACAUAAAGGAAUUGACGGGGACCCGCACAAGCGGUGGAGCGUGAUCUUUAAUUCGAUGCUAAACGAUAAACCUUACCAAGGCUUGACAUCCAGGGAAGGCCUCCGAAAGGAGUCUGUGCCUUCGGGAACCCUGUGACAGGUGAUGCACGGCCGUCGACAACU